UACGUAGGUGGCAAGCGUUGUCCGGAUUUAUUGGGUUUAAAGGGUGCGUAGGCGGCCCUGUAAGUCAGUGCUGAAAUAUCCCGGCUUAACCGGGAGGGUGGCAUUGAUACUGCAGGGCUUGAGUGAAGUCGAGGUAGGCGGAAUUGACGGUGUAGCGGUGAAAUGCUUUGAUAUCGUCAAGAACACUGAUAGUGAAGACAGCUUACUAGGCUUAUACUGACGCUGAGGCACGAAAGUGUGGGGAUCAAACAGG
This 253-nucleotide ribosomal RNA is filed under the name uncultured bacterium. Its description in RNAcentral is "partial 16S ribosomal RNA". It matches the Rfam family "Bacterial small subunit ribosomal RNA", at positions 524 to 776 of the family's 1533-position model. The record is from RNAcentral.